CCUGUGGAGCGUUACAUCAAACGAGAGUAGCCUGUUGUUUCGGCAACGGCAAAAUCGGACGCAAUGAAUCAGGAA
RNAcentral lists this small RNA (75 nucleotides) under bovine gut metagenome. RNAcentral describes it as "RAGATH-18 RNA". It matches the Rfam family "RAGATH-18 RNA". Rfam says of the family: Actinobacteria, Firmicutes, Fusobacteria, Thermotogae (1 example). Nearby to self-cleaving ribozyme genes The record is from RNAcentral. RNAcentral also lists the same sequence under 1 other name.